Long non-coding RNA from Plutella xylostella (diamondback moth), 989 nucleotides. RefSeq lists it as uncharacterized. NCBI's taxonomy places the organism in Eukaryota, Metazoa, Arthropoda, Insecta, Lepidoptera, Plutellidae. The record is from RefSeq and is a predicted model, not a curated record.
UCAGUACCCUUAGCAGGAACAUUUCAUCGUUUCCGUAUUUCAUUACUACACGUUAACUUUGAACGUAUUGAAAUGGCAGCAUAAGCCUUCGUCGUGUGCCGGUCGUUACAACGUUACCAGAGUUAAAAUAAGGUUGUACCACACUGAGAUUGUUAAGUUCAAAACCUUCAUAAUAAUUUCAAAGUAAGCAGCGAUUCCUUAUAAACGCACUUUAACAAUUGUCUAUGGAUGAUAACUAUGAUUUGAACGCACAUCCUAACUUUUUUUUUUGACAUUUGUCAUCUGUCAUCUGUCAAAUUAUCAAUCUAUUGACACUGACAGGUCGGCUUUCAUAAUUAUUUGUUAAAUUUGUUUAUUGUUUUAUUGAAUUCAACGCAGUGAUAUUUGCCUACGGAUACCAACGCCAAGGCCCACGGAUGGAGAGGUCGCCAGUGGUGCCUUAAUAAGUGGAAGGAACUAGCCAAGCUCAAUAGCGAAGGGACGGGACAAGGAGUGAUAAGCAAAGGAGAAAAUUAAACAUGAAACAUAACAUUAAACAUUAAACAUAAAAGGUAUGGAGUGAUUAUAUGAAUAAUACAAAGAGAAAAUGCUCCCAAAUUGCCUAAGGGGGCACAGUGAAUGGUUGAUGGUUCAGCCCUAAAAUGGAUAUGUCAGAUUGAAAGCUACCGGUGAAUGCUAUAUAAUUGAUGUGAUGAGAUAUAGAAUCAGCAUGGAACAUGUGCCUGGUACGAGGAGCCAGCCCAAUCCAGCUAUACCAGCGUAUCCUGUACCCAGCAUCACGGACCAGGCCACCGCCUGCAAGUGCACCCCCGUGAAGGCAUAAAUUAUAAGUGUGCAUUUUGAUUGCUCGGUGAAGAAUACAUUUAGGAGAAAAGAUAAAUCAUACAUUUUGUUAUACUAUGCUGAUGUUUGCAAAUGUUACAUGAUACUACCUACUAAGAUAAAUAUGUUUUUUUGUAAAAUAAAGAAUAAAAAACUGUUAAACAGAA